GCUCCAUUCUAGUCGCGGUGUCGUGCCCCAGCGCGCAGUCGGUGGGCAGCAGCUUAUGUAGGGCGCGCUCCUUGCUGAUAGCGAUGCCAGUCCCGGUAUCACAUAGAUGUUGCCAGCCGGUUAGCUGCACCGGGUCCAGAAUUGGCGGUAGCGUCCAGUGAUGGGGAGGCGCUGCCCCCGUGACUUGCCCACGGGAAAGCAUGUUCAUUACCGGUGCAGGAACAGCAACGCCGAGCAGCAUGGCAGCCUGGAAGAGUAUAAAUGUCUUGGUGCCUUCGAGUUUCUCCUUUGUGUUCAGAAUGCCUCCACUCUCACCGUGGCCGAAGGAUCCUUGGUCAGACACCAAAAACUCAGCUGUUCCAAAAUCUGGUACCGUCACUGGCACCAGAUCCUCGAGGAAGGAUGGGAACACUGGUUCGAACGAACCGCAUCUCGGCAGGGACUGGUGUUUCCGCAGCCACGGCUGAAACCUACACCUGUACUGGGAGAGAAUCCAGUGACUUCUAUUCCAUAAGGAAAUCCGAAGGAUCAUGCGUCGUCCAGCCCGGUUCACGCAGCCAUCUUCCGCCAGAACCCAAGUGCGAUAAUCGUGGUAUCAAG
Long non-coding RNA from Dermacentor albipictus, 600 nucleotides. RefSeq lists it as uncharacterized. Lineage: Eukaryota; Metazoa; Arthropoda; Arachnida; Ixodida; Ixodidae. The record is from RefSeq and is a predicted model, not a curated record.